This 254-nucleotide ribosomal RNA is filed under the name uncultured bacterium. RNAcentral describes it as "partial 16S ribosomal RNA". It matches the Rfam family "Bacterial small subunit ribosomal RNA", at positions 524 to 776 of the family's 1533-position model. The record is from RNAcentral.
UACGGGGGGAGCAAGCGUUGUUCGGAUUUACUGGGCGUAAAGGGCGCGUAGGCGGUCUGUCGCGUCGGUCGUGAAAACUUGGGGCUUAACCCUGAGCUUGCGGUCGAUACGGGCAUGACUGGAGUUCGGUAGGGGAGACUGGAAUUCCUGGUGUAGCGGUGAAAUGCGCAGAUAUCAGGAGGAACACCGGUGGCGAAGGCGGGUCUCUGGGCCGAUACUGACGCUGAGGAGCGAAAGCGUGGGGAGCGAACAGG